Long non-coding RNA from Dromaius novaehollandiae (emu), 1573 nucleotides. RefSeq lists it as uncharacterized. NCBI's taxonomy places the organism in Eukaryota, Metazoa, Chordata, Aves, Casuariiformes, Dromaiidae. The transcript has 2 exons. The record is from RefSeq and is a predicted model, not a curated record.
CCUGGAUUCUUCUCAGUAAUGCCUGUUUUGAAGCAGGGAUCUUGAAUUUUUAUGUUGCUUAUAAAAUAACCAGGACAUUUUGGUGCAAUGUGUUAAGCCAUGGACAUGAAGACGGAUGUUUCCUCUGGCUCACACACACCUGAUCUGAAGUGCUGAAAAACCUUUCUCCAACUAGGCGGAAGUGGCAGAAGGCUCCAGAAAGCGCCAUUACCACAGCAAAGAAGAGAUCAGAAGUGAUAUAACUAAUGAAUGACAGGUGUAAGGGUGAGGCAGGGGCACCGCCUGGACUCCCGGCAGGGACGGAUACACAAACACAAGGCAUAUGAUGGUCGAUAUGGAGCAUUUAUUACCUCUGCAUCUGAACGGGGGUUCCCCCGCAUUUUCCCGAUCAAGGCAGUAAUGGAGCAGGGGAUCCCUGGCACCGCUGAGCGUCGGUCCAGGGUGAGGAACACCGGGGCGGGGCACUAGAUGAAGUUUUCAUGUACCAUACACAUGCGCAGUAAGCGUGUUGAGCUCAUUGUUAUUCCCGAUUCAAAGCCCAGGUGCAGCGCCACCCUGGCACAGGCUCAACUACGUGACUAUGGGUCAACACGCCCUGUUGAUGCUCCUUUUCCCACAGAACGGUCUGGCUAGCUUCCAUCGUCUAUCUCCUUGACAUUCUUCCGCACUUUCCCAUACACUAAGAGAAAAAGUGCAUUAGGACCUUAGAGCCUAGUGAAGGAUAAACCAGAGAAUAUUCUUUAACAUCAUAGGAACCAACACUGCAAAAAUAAGAUGCUGUCAUGAAAAAGACAAUGUUAUAUAACUGUGAUCAUACUAUUGGAAAACCUUCAUGCUGAUAUGGUUGCCUUUUCAAACUUUGCUUCUUUUAUACAACUCUUUACUGAACAUUGCUUAUUAGCGUAGAACAGAUCUAUUCCCUGGACCUACCCUGUUAGUGGAUGAGUGGGAAGGGAGCAGUCCUGCUCACUAUUAAUCUCCAGAAAUAAUUUGGCAAAUUUUGACUUAAUUAAUCCUUUUGGGAAUGCUGUGAUUUUGUUCCUAGGCAAUUGAUAAGCAAACAAACAAAAUUCUUCCUGCUUUACAAUGCGAAUUGCAGAUUGUUCACCAAGCUCAAAUUUGGGCUGUGACAGAAAUAAACCAAUAUACUCACUUUUAAAUUAGGACAGUUUUGUAAAUUAAAUAUCAACACCUUUAACAAAAAAUUAGCUGGAUAUUACUUCAAUAUUCAGAGUACUGUAAUACUGAUGAUCUCUGUAUGACCCUGCCUCAGCAAGCAGAGCCAUAACUGAGUUGUGCUGCUCCAGUUUCAGCUCAGCCCUCAGAAAUAAUGAAGUAGCCUGGAGAUGGAGUUUCAUGCAGCAUGGAACAGAUGAAUUAUUAGAUUUUCAUAAUCAAAUGGAGACUCUGAUUUAUUUCUGCCUUUGCAUCAUUUGUUUGAUUUAGUCUGACUGUAAUUUACCAUUUAGGAUGAAUUUAGGAUGUGAUAUAAACUCAUAAACUUACAGAUUAUGAAUAGAAAUCACAAAUUUUCUUCUUCAGUUAGAAAUACAAAAGAUGUUUUUCUUUUUUA